RNAcentral lists this ribosomal RNA (475 nucleotides) under uncultured bacterium. RNAcentral describes it as "SSU rRNA". It matches the Rfam family "Bacterial small subunit ribosomal RNA", at positions 26 to 518 of the family's 1533-position model. The record is from RNAcentral.
AGGAUAAACGCUGGCGGCGUGCCUAAUGCAUGCAAGUCGAACGGAGUAGGCCUUCGGGCUUACUGAGUGGCGGACGGGUGAGGAACACGUACGAGACCUGCCCUCGGAUGGGGAAUAAGCCCUCGAAAGGGGGUCUAAUGCCGCAUACGGUCCCAAGCAGCAAGGUUUGGGAGGAAAGCUCGAGAGGGCGUCCGAGGAGGGGCGUGCGGCCGAUUAGCUAGUUGGUGGGGUAAAGGCCUACCAAGGCGACGAUCGGUAGCUGGUCUGAGAGGAUGGUCAGCCACACUGGGACUGAGAUACGGCCCAGACUCCUACGGGAGGCAGCAGCAGGGAAUCUUGCGCAAUGGGCGAAAGCCUGACGCAGCAACGCCGCGUGGGUGAAGAAGGCUCUCGGGUCGUAAAGCCCUUUUCUGGGGGAAGAAGUUCUGACGGUACCCCAGGAAGAAGCCACGGCUAACUACGUGCCAGCAGCCGC